UACGUAGGCAACGAGCGUUGUUCGGAGUUACUGGGCGUAAAGGGUGUGUAGGCGGUUGUUUAAGUUUGGUGUGAAAUCUCCCGGCUCAACUGGGAGGGUGCGCCGAAUACUGAAUGACUAGAGUGCGGGAGAGGAAAGUGGAAUUCCUGGUGUAGCGGUGAAAUGCGUAGAUAUCAGGAGGAACACCGGUGGUGUAGACGGCUUUCUGGACCGUAACUGACGCUGAGACACGAAAGCGUGGGUAGCAAACAGG
This 253-nucleotide ribosomal RNA is filed under the name uncultured bacterium. Its description in RNAcentral is "partial 16S ribosomal RNA". It matches the Rfam family "Bacterial small subunit ribosomal RNA", at positions 524 to 776 of the family's 1533-position model. The record is from RNAcentral.